AAAGAGGUAUACAAAUAUCGAAAUUCCACCGUCAAAUUUAUUGGACAAAAGGGCUAAUUAAGCCUUGGGUUAAAAGGAGUACUAAACUUCUGGGAGGGGGAGGGGAAUUAUACGUUGUCUGAUUCUCUAUGAACUUAUUCCAGCAGCAAAAUGGUGAUAGAAAAUUGUUUCUAGUUUGUGGAAUCUCUAUUCUGCCAAUACCCAGAAGUCAAACUAACUGGAUAGAGAUCAGCAGCAGAUGUUGAAGAAGUGGUCCAUGGCGCAUCACCUAACAUACUCUUUGUCUGGCUAAUAUCUGCAUCAUCAUCAUCUUCAAGUUUCCUAUGCAGCUUUUUCAUAGUUUCAACAUUCUUUUGACGACUUGAAGGGGACAUUGAAUCUGUGCAGUAUUCCUGAACUUCGGCCUUGCCUUCAAGCAUGCUCACCACUGAAGACAUUGGAGGUCUAGCUGAAGCAGUGGGAUUUGUGCAUAAUAGAGCAACAUUUAUCAUUGUCAUCACCUCGUUUUUGUCGCAAUCCGAGCCCAAUCCUUGUAUCGACAAAUUCCAACAAGUUCCCAUUCUCCUUCAAAAAAGAGCCUAGAAUGAAACACAAAAUUUUAAUUGCACAUCAGUUCAUUUCAUAAUACAUAUGACGCUCAAACUCACUAAUGCAUAAGCUUUCUUUGUCAUGUGUAUAAGGUAGUUUUGUCUGGCAUAUGUAAAAAUGUUCUUGACAUUUGAUGCAUACUGUGUGUUGAAUACGGACACUGAAUAUAUGUUGAACACGUGUUGGAAACAAAUACUUUAGAAAAAUACGAGGUGGGAGCAACGCAAUAGCACACAUAGUAUGAAGAUGCAUAAUGAAGAAAUAAUGAGAACUAAUUUACCAAUUCAAGGAGAAUGAAAGGUUCUUUGCUUUGGGCGAAUUCUAGUGUUGCACCCUCCCACUAACCAAUUUCAAGUGCCACUAUCCCAAAACUAUAAAACAUCCGCUUUCUCUGUCAAAUGGCCAUGCAAUGCAUACUCAGGAGCACAUAUAGCCACUGGAAAUUUAACAUCGUCAAUUAAAUACAGCUUUUUAUAGGUUAACAUCAAUCAAUAGUGAGAAUGAAUCUGAAAAGAGACUUACUAAGUUCCUGCAAUUCGGGUGCUAAUGUGGGUAUUAUCUUCUUCAUCAAGCUUAGCCAACCAAAGUCGGAUAUUUUAGGGUUUAGAUUCUUAUCAAGCAACACAUUGGUGGCCUUGAUGUCUCUAUGCACAAUCUUCAACCUUGAUUCUUCAUGGAGGUAAGCUAAUCCUCUUGCUAUACCAAUGCAGAUCUUCUUUCUUGUUGGCCAGUCUAAUAUCGACUGAGAUUCUUGUGGCCCUUUUCAUUGUCAAAAUAAAAAGAGUAGCUCAGUUAUAUGUAUUCACAUACUUCUCAUUCAUGUUAGAACAUGUAGACAUUGGAUGAGGUUUGUACCAAACAAUGCACGAGCAAGGCUGUUGUUUUCCAGAUACUCGUAUAUAAGCAUCAGCUGGUUUCCUUCAAUGCAACAUCCAUACAACUUUACAAGAUGAGGGUGUUGUAGAGCUGAAAUCAUGCCAAUCUCAGUCACAAACUCACGGUUUCCUUGCUUCGAUCGAGCUGAUAGCUGCUUAACAGCAACCAUCGUGCCUUCUGCCAGAGUGCCCUGCGUUUGAAAAAAAAAAAAAACCAUGAUUACCAGGUUCCAUUAUGAACAAUUUACCUGCAGAAAGUGUGCACAUGAUUACCUUGUAGACGGACCAAAACCACCUUCUCCAAUCUUAUUAGAAGCAUGAAAAUCGUUUGUAGCAGCUUUAAUUUGCCUUAAGGUAAAGGAAGUUGUCUGCAACUCUAUACCUUUUAGAUCUGUGGAACAUGUUAAACCUAUUAUAAGAAAGAUUUAUAAUAUCAUUUGAAUUGGACUUAUCGACACUACAUAUGUUCACUAUUUUGUGCCAAAAUCGUGAAAAAAAGGAAUGACCGGGUUUAAAUUGCGAUCACAAACGUGUUUUCAGUCGCAUAACAUAUGAUAUCAGGAUCAAUUUUGAUGAGUAUCAAUAGAAAAAAGAACUGAAAACCGCAUGAAUAAAGACGGUGCAACUGUUGUAUGAAACAGAGUAUAAUGAUAUUCCGUCUAAAUACCUUGUUCCAAUGUACUCUUCCGUCUUAAACAGCCAUUCCACCAAAGGAUGCCUAAAAUCAGUAAAGCAGCAAACACUACUCCGGCCACAAUACCGACCACUGCAGCUGCUGAGAUACUGCCAGGUUUAUAUUCUGGUUCAACAACAUUAUAUAUAAGUAAGUUGCAACGAUGACAUGAACAUCUUAGUCGAAAGCAUAAUAUAUUAGAUGUGACGUAUCAACAAACGAAAGAACAGAGAUAUGGCCUAGAGAUCUGUCUAUCAGUCGAUCUUGAGGCUUAGUCCAGUUAAUAUAUAAAACCACUUCUAAGAGACGAUGCGAGGUCCGAAUCCUAGUAUCUUCUUCUGCAAUUAACUGGGAAUGAUAAGAGAAAUGAAUUGAAAACCUACUAGGAUCAAAAAUGGAUAUUGCUGAUAUUAGAGGGCCGUAAAUGCCUCUCUCGGGUAUAGAAGUUGUCCCUUUUCCGGUCCAUCGGAAACGAAUCUCUAAAGUGCCAUCGGUUACAUUUGCAUUGAUUGGUUCUACUGUUGGUAUGCCUGCCCCUCCUGUUUUUUCUUUAAUAUUGAAAUCCUUCAGCACCCGCUCUCCCUGCAAUUAUUAUCCGUUCCAUUUAACCUUACUUUCCGUGCAAGCACAUGUUGUAAAGCAACAUUUGUGUAUAUUUAUAUCGAAAAUCCAACACUCAUCCAAAUCAGGAUAACAUGUAAACCAAUUAAGCUAAACCAAAUUCUAACCUAUGGAACUUAGUGGUAACAAGAAUGAUACUAAAAAUAUACCUGAAUGUAAACAUCAAAUAUGCGUCUCCCCAAGCUGCUAUAAUUUCGAUCAUUAGUGAACUGAAUCUCAGCGAAAUGGAGGUUUACUAAGUAAGUUGCAUUGGCGAGACAGAAUACAUAGUAAGUCAAAGAGCUAGGCGCAAGCCUUGCAUUUUUGUAGAGUUGUUCAUCACGACCAUUGACAGAAACUUGUCCAUUGUCAAAAAAAUAGUUGUCGUCGGUGUUGUCAUUGCCUAGAAAAAUUCCGGUGCUGCUAAAUGCCCAGUUGGUACUUCUGUAAAAUGUCGAAGGCCCGGCUUGAUCGAUAUCGGCUUCGUAAGUGGUGCCAUUAACAGUUAUUUCUCUCCCUCCACAAUUUAUAUGGACAAAGUGCAAAGCUGAGGAAAAUAACAAUCAACAACAGUUUGAAUAAAAUAAUUGAGUUAUAUUAUUAGUGCAUCAAAUAUAAAUACUUACGUUCUGAUGAGCAGAUGUCAACGUCUUGGUUUGUCAAACAUGGAACAAUUCCCCUGAUAAAACAAUUAUAAAGUUAGAUGAAAGACAAAGACUUAGUUUAAUGAUUAUUGUUAUCUUAAAACUUACGUGUUAUUGAGUCUUGCAAUGCUUGCGAACAAGUUCCUGCAGAUCCACAAUGAACCACAAUUAUAUAUAUACAACCAUUUACAACAAAGAUCCACUAAUGGAGUUAGAUGAGAAACUUUACACGGUUUUACUUAUUUGACAGCUUGAUUCACUUGUGUCAUUGAAGUUGUUGUAUGAAAGAUCCCUGCAAAUAGAAUAGUUUAGAAUAUUAUUUUCAUUAAAAGUCUGCAGGUAUACUCAUAAAUAUCUCUAUUAAAAGCUUGAUAUCGGCAACAAGUCUAUUAAAGCUGAGAUUAGUAUUCAAAAUUAAAUAAGAAGUGAAUCUUACACUUUUUCGUUUGUUUUCUGUAACCAUUGAGGGACUGAUCCAGUAAAAUUGUUUCCAUUUAAGAACCUCAUGAAAAGAAAUCAUCAAGUUGUUUUUUUAUUUCCAUUUGACCCAAAUGAGUAUAUAAAUAAAAGAAAAUGUAGUUGACACUACAACUAAAAACCAUAUUCUUACAAAUUAUCGAAAUUAAGGCCAGAAAGCUGAUUUGGAAUUUCUCCAGUGAGUCUAUUAAAGCUGAGAUCUCUACAAGAAAAUUUAUAAAAAUGAUAUUAAACCAGACGUCAUCUUAUAAAAUAUUUCAAUCUAACUCUUGAAUAAUCAAAAGUACAAAUAAGAUAGAUGCAUCAAAAUUCACAAGUAAUUAUGUCCUAAUACAAGUUAGAAAUGAAAGAAGGAGGUUGCAAAUUUUGAAAUUCUAUUUCUACCAUCAGACUGAACUUGAACCUCUCAAAAACCGGGUAUUUUAGUAUUAGAAAAGAAAGUGUGUAAUUACUUACAAUAUCUUUAUGGAUGUAAAUGUCCCAAAAGAAGCAGGUAUCUCUCCAAUGAGAUUGCAACUCCUCAUCAUCCUGUAAUUCAAUCACAAAAUAAUUCCAUUAUUCUUUUAGAACUCCACAAUAUCUCAUAACUUCCAAAAAUCUUUGCUUUAUUCCAGAGUUCAUGCUUACAAUCUAUCCAAUUUAGGCAAAGUGGCAUCGAUGACCAAUUGUGUAAAAUUUGUUUCAGCUCCAUUCAAGUCACUAAUUAUUCUGUACAACAAUAUCAAGAACCAUAUACAAACAUAAAUAAGAAUUUAAAUUGUCUUUAUUUUUAUAUAACGAAUAUUGUCACCAUCUUUUAAGAUUAUUAUAGCUUACAUGUAUGUUAAGUUAAGUAAAGUAGCAUUAAUGGAUGGAAUUGGUCCACUCAAACCACUUCCCUCAAUAUAUCUGUCAUUACAAAAAUGAUAGAUUCAUUUAAUUGAUUGAUAAAACAAAAAUUCUAAUGAAUUAAAAAAACUUAAAGUAUAUAAAGAAAAUGUUAAAUUAAAUUCUCACAUCUUUUCAAGAUUUGUCCAAUUUCGGAAUAUGAAGUCAGGAAUUUGUCCUGUAAAAUUGUUGUCACUAAUCCGACUGUUGAGAAUACAAAAUUAUCAAAACUAUAUCAUAUAAAAUAUAUUGAAAAAUACGAAUGAUAUGUAUUAAAAGGAACACUAGAAAAUAGAAUUGCUUACAAUUCCUUCAAUGAAGUCAGACUAGCAAAGGUUUCAGGUAUUGUCCCAGUAAAAUAGUUGGAACCAAGAUGUCUGAAAAAACCAGUAAAUAGAUCUUAAAUCAUUUACAUGAUAAAAAUACUACAUAUAUAUAAUGAAAUGCAUUUCAUCUAGAAAUUUUUUUUCUUUUAAAAAAGGAAGGGUCUCUCUUACAAUUUCUCAAUUUUGGGUAGAUCCCUCAGCGCUGCAGGCAAAGUUCCUGAAAGACCAUUGUUCUCAAGGACUCUACGCAAUGUUUUUUCAAUAAAUAAAAUUAAUUAUCCAUUAGACGUUUAUUAAAAAAUGAAAAACAAUAUCAUUCAUAUAUAUACAUUCGAAGUUGCUAUAAUCUAACUCACAAGCUGGUGAGAUUUCUGAGAUUUGCUAGCUCUUCUGGGAUUGAACCAGUUAAUCGAUUUCCUAGAAGGGAACUGAAAUACAAUAAAUCUUUCGCAUUUAGAAACAUUAUAUAUAUUCAUUAUCUUAUUCGCUCCUUUAUGCAUAUGAAAUUAUAUAUAAAGUUCUCAAUGGGAUUUAUGUUAUAUUUGCCAUUGAGUUAUUGUUUUACAUAUGCAUGGUAGUCAAAGAAAUUUAUUAUAAUUAAAAUGCUUUAAUAUUUUCGACUUAAUACUUAUAUUUUAGAAAUAUAUAAUUUUAAAAUAAGAUAGUGAAUAUUAUAGUUAAUUUAUUUUAAUGAAAUUCAAUAAUUUAGAUCAUUGUGAAAGUGACCUAAAUUGUUAACUAUUAUCGUCGUAAAUUACAUAAAAGAUUAAAUAUAUAGUAGUCUUGAUUUUGGUUUUAAAAUGGAGAAUCGUACUAGCUUAAAAGGGUAGUCACUUACUAUUAAUUGUAUUUCUUUCUAUUUUUUUGUGUAAUGAAUAUUUAUAGGUAACAUGUAGGUAGCGCAAAAAUGUUAGGCUUAAAUGUAAUACCAAUACAUAUAAUGAGUGAAUACUUGAUAUUUUGGAGUUUACCCAAAGGAAAACUUAGGUGAUAUCAUUAAGCGAGGAUUAUACAGUUCCUAUUACCUUAGAUUCUCUUGCAUCUGGAAUGAUGAUUUUUAAUGGAUUGAAUUUCUUAUAAUGGUAUUAAAGGGUUCAACUUUCAUCUGAUAUACUAGAUCUUGACAUGGCUUUAUUAAGCGAGAAAGUUCCGAAAGUUACUAUAGAAUUGCAGAGGAGCUGGUGGAAUAUUCAAAAGCCUGGAUAAGGUCGAACAGACUUAGUAUUAUGUUUAUGAGAAUGACUAUUGUUGUGAAUAUCAAGAUUUCUGUUCCUUAAAUUGACAUAAUCUCGAAUUUUCUAAAAUCCGUAGAGUUGCAUUUUAAACAUGCUAAUAAGUCUCUUAUUGGCCUUUUGAUGGCUGAAUUCAACAACAUUGAUGAAGUUGGUUCAGCAUGCAGCAAACUCGACAGCAUGCAGGCCAUGAAGACCAAGUCAUGCAGGAGCUGCUGAUGCAAGCUUAUUUUGUUUAUUUUGUAAUUUCUAGUCAAUGAAAUGUAAUCUUAGUUCAUUUCUAACUAAGUUAGAUUGUUGACUGAUGUAAUUAGCUUAUGUAUGAGCUGUAAACACAACUUUGUGUAAGUUUACAAGCCAAAAUUUCAAGUUUCCAUGUCAUUAGUGGAGGUAGGUGAUGUUUAGGUAAUUACUUACUGUUUUUGACAAGCUUAGUGCCUGUUUUAUGUAUUGGCAUUGUGCCAUUAUGCAUUUUUAUGAAUGAAGUUCAGUUUGUUCAUCAAUUUCUCUCUUCAUUUUUCAUAGCUUUUCUUCCUUUCUCUUGCUCGAAUUCUCUUGUUUGCUUAGCAAGUCUCGAGACUUGCUUAACAAGUCUGCACUGAAUCUGUUAAUUUCAGUUACAGCACCAACAAACAUGAUUGUCAUAAAGGAAUUCAACAACAUAUAUUGGACAUGAAUGAAAAAAUUGCAAAACUUAAAACUUUUAAGGGUGAAUGUGGAUAGAUUCUUUUUGGUGCUUUUCAUCCUUAAUUCACUUCCUCAGUUUUCUCCAUUCAAGAUUUAUUAUAACAUCAUUAGUGAGCAGCAGAACUUGAAUGAGAUGACUAGUAAGUACGUUUAGGAAUAAGUGAGAAUGCGGUGGAAUGAACAACAUUUAACUCUAGUUGCAACUUAUGGAGCUACGAAGAAAAAAAGAAAGAUAAAUGUACUAAAGGAAAUAACUGUCCGCUAAAGAAGGUAAGUGGAUGUGGAAAAGGUACCAGAGUUAUGAUGGGAAAUUUAUUGUCAAGUAAUAUUUCUGUGACAAAACAUUAAGACAUGUUAAGAAGGAUUGAUUUUAGAGACAUUACUCAUAUCCCCAAUCUAAUUUGGGGAUUCCUUACAACCAAUAAAUUGAAUGAAAGUGAGAAAUUCAUUUAUAUGGGAACCAUCCCAAGGUGGAAGUGAUAGUUGUUGACAUCUAUUCCUUACACUUUGUAUGUACUUUGGAUUUCUAGAAUUUUAGUUUCAAUUACUUUUUGGUUGUGAAAGAUUAAGUCUGAUGUUUAAUUCAAUAAUAGUUGGUUUUUGUGUUUUAUACGAUAGCUUAUAUAAAAUUUCUUUGAACCGUGCAUUUGCACAAGAUUAAGUAACCUUGCAUUCAAAUAUUGGUUCAAAAUUGGUUUAAUUAACGAACAUUCUUCACUCUUCUAGCAUAGAAGGUUCUCUAGGGAAAGAAUUGAAAGAUUAGUGAAUAAUGAAAUUUUGUAAAAUCUAGACUUUACUGUAUUUUUCAGUAUGCUUGAAUCGCAUUAAAAGAAAACAAACUAAACUAUAAAAAAAUAUUCACAAAAAGUAACGAGCUCAGAGGUAGCUAAAGGGGCUGACAGGUACCCGAUCCCCUAAAAUAAUUUUUUUUUCAUUUAGAAACCUUUAAAAUUUAUAAAUAUUUAAAUUAAUAAAUAUAAAAUUACACUUUGACUCUCUAAAAUAAUAAAGACUUGAUUAUUGACCAAUGUAUUAACGGUAUUUCGAAUGUUAAGAUGGUGUAUGUUUGUAGAGAUGAGAAUAGGUGAGUUGAUGCCCUUGCUACCAUCAGGCGGUGAGAAAUUCAUUGCUUGUUGUAUGGUGGUAGGAUAGUGCCCGUGCUUUGUAAUUAACUCUUCCUCCAAUAACAUUUUAUGAUUGAUUGAGCAAAUAGAGAUUGAGAAAUUUAAAGCUUCAAUCAUGUGACUUCAUCCUCUUGAAAUGGUAUGUCUCUAAAUCUCUACUUUAAUUUCUUAACAUGUGUUGAAUUUAAUGAUCUGUAUUUUCUGCAUUAAAGUAAUUGUUAUAAUUCAUACCACCACGAAAGACAUACAUAAAGGAGAAGGAAAUAAACAUACAUCUUAAUGAGUCGCGUAGAAGAACCCCACCCUGGAGGAAUAGUGCCAUUAAGAUAGUUUCGAGUUAGGUCACUGUAACAAUAGAUUUAAAACAACAAAUUAAUUAGUAGAUAUUUAGGUAAUUAAUUGAUGCAAAGUUAAUUAAUUGCUUACAUUUCUUGCAGAAAAGGGAGACUUGUCAAGUUUAGUGGGAGAGUACCCGAAAGGCCCUGUCCCUUGAGUAGUCUGAUAGAAAAACCAAGUUAGUUUCUUUUCUAUUUAAAAUUUACCCUAUAAUUUUCCCAAUUACUUAAGGAUGUCAUUUAUUAUUAAACCCACUAAAUUGUUUUUUUUUUUUGUAAUUUUAUACACUGAAAUUUAGGACAAAGUUAAAUUUGGUUCGAUUAUUUCUUUUUUAAUCAUGAUAACUCAAUUUGAUUUGAUCUAUAUUAAUUUUAAUUUUUAAAUUUUUAGAUUUUAUUUUAGGAAAAUGGAUUUUGUUUUAUAACUUUUGAGCCUUAUUUGGAAAAUUUUCAAAGUUUCUGCCAUAAAUGUUUCUAAAAUAUAUUUUUCAAGUAAAUAAAAAAUCAAUAAUUUAAUGGUAUGUUUUGAAAAAUAAAUUUUUAUAUAGUACUUUUAAGUUUUAAAAAAUAACAUACUUAUUUCUAAAUGAUAUAAUAUUAAAUUAAUUAGAAAUUAAAUAAAAUUUGAAUCUAAUUUAGAUAAGAGAAUAGAUUAUAUGAAACUAUUAAAAUAACAUUAAACUAUUGGAAAGAGAUACAAGCUUCAUCAUAUUUGUUUAGUUAAUAGGUACUUGUAUGCACCAAUUAGAAGUUAAACAAUUAUAAUAUGUAAAUUUAAAUUUCAAAAAGAAAAUAUUUAUCCAGAAUUUUAUAGUUAAAUUUAAAUGGAAACAUGUUUUUAUAUAUUAUUUUUAAUUAAAAUUAAAAUAAAAACAAAUUUUAAAAAGUUAAUUUGUAAAUAUAAUAAGAAGAGUCCAUAUAUGCCUUUAUAUCUUAUGUAAUACCAUUGUUUUCUAAGAUUCGGAUCAUAUCUUGUGGGUUGGACGUACAUGCAUGUCGGCUGGAAAGUGGAGUGAUGUUAAACGCUCUCUGUGCAUCAUCCACAACUUUUAUUAAACAAAUUAAUAAGUAUAAAAUUAAACUUCCAGUAAUCUUAUAUUUAAGUUGAUUAAUAUCUUCAUUUGUCAAAUAAUUUAACAUAUAUAUAAUAUGAAGUCUGAGGCAUCAUCUCAUAUUCAAAGUUAAAAUACUCUUCACUUUUUAAUAAUAAAUUUUAGAUUAAAUGCUUAUUAAAUCAUAUAUAAUUCAUAAAUAAAAUCUAACAAGUUUAGACGUAACUCAAGGGAGAUAAAAUUUUCAUUAUAAAAUAAUAUGUAUAUGUUUAUACUUACAUGUGAAUGACAUGACAGGUAGUAUAGUUGUUGAAGGAACAAUCGCAUAUAACAUUAUCAACAUAAGAUUCAUUAAACUCGGGUGAAGGUUGGUCCAACCGACCAUUGCCUUGAAUGCAUGUUCCAGUAAAGUUCCAGUUUGUCUUCCCUAAUGUUCUACCAAUACUUUCCAAAGCUUCCACUGUAACAACAAAAAUGAAAGUGUGGAAUUUACUAAAAGAAUUAAUUAACCAAAUUAAGCUUUGAAGCUUAAUAUUAUGGAUUACCUUCAGCAUUUGGAAGUGAAGCUUCGUUUGAAAGCGUUGUAAGGCAACAAACUAUGAAUAUUGACCCAAAAAAAAGUCGAAGAAACAACAUAUUGGAAUGUUUUUGGAGUGGAUUCAAGAGGGUUUUUUUUUUUUGGCUUGAUAUGAAUGAACAAAAAAUGGGUUGAAAGAUUGGGUUUCAUAAAUAUAUUGGAUUAUGAGAGUUGGAAUUUUCUUUGAGAUGAUUGAAAAUAAAAGAAAGUUGGAAGUUUCCUAUCUUUUUGCUCCGAAAUUGCAAAUUACUUUGAGAUGAAAGACAAAUAAAUGAAAGUUGGAAAUUUCUUGAGAUGAAGAAAGAAAAAGCAUGACGAAAAUGUGUGGCUGCCUGUGGAGAAUAAAAGAAAAAGAGACUCAAUGUUUUUGCAUGACCAUUCAAAUGAUACUUUAUCAUAAUGACAAGUUAAAAAAUAUCUUGCAUGGGAAGUUAUUAGUUGAGUAUAUUAAUUACAAUAUUAAUACAUAUAAUAUAUAUAGUCUAACUUUUUCUAUAAUAACCGUUAUAAUAGCAUUUCCUUAUAGCAAUCAAGUUUUUAGUAAAUAAAUUUGAUUUUUUAUAUUAUAUUUUAAUAAUUUAUAAUAACUUUUUACUUAUAAAAAUAAUAUCCAUAUUUAUUAAGUACAAUUUUUAUUAAAUUAUUUCUUUAUAACUACAUAUUGUCUAAAAAUUUAAGUAAAAUUAUAACUAUAUCAUAUCAGCAAGCCUAUUAAUUAUAAUUUUAUUAUUUUAAUAAAAUAUUUCAAUUUCAUAUGAAAAAUCUCUAAAAUUUUAAUCAUAUGUUAUUAAAUGAAAAUAAUCUUUAAUGAGUCAAUUCAAUAAAUUAUUGAGUUUUCUAAUUAAAUAUUCUACUAUAAAUUUGAAAUAUCAUACACUUAAUUGAUUACUUGAAUUUAAUAACUUAUGAUAAAUUAAUUAAUUCAAUGUAAUAACUCAUACUAAUCAGUUGAACUUCAUAAAUAAUCAUAUAUAAAAUGUAAAAUAAAAUAUACAUUAAAGUAAUAGUGCAUGCACCUACAAUAGUUUUUUUUUUUAAUUUUUAAUUUGAUUUUCAAUUUCUUUCUUUUUUUCAUAUAAUUCUCACUUUUCUUUUCUUUUAUUGAAAUUCAAUAUAUGAAUUCUUUUAUAGAUUUAUAGCAAUUAUAUUUCUAUAACAUAUUAUUAUAGGUAUAUAUAACAAUCGCCUCUAUAUAAUAGGCAAAAUAUUGGCAGAUAGAUAGAUAGAGCUAAUAUACAUAUACUAUUAUAGGUAUAUGUAUUAGUUCAUACAUCAAGCAUGUUGGUAUAGAUAUAUAACAAAUCACCUCUCUAUAAUAGGUAAAAUAUUGACAAACAGAUAGAGCUAUUAUAGUAGCUGUUGGUAUUGCCUCACACAUCGACACCACCACCCCUCAUUAUUACCCAACCAUUGAUUUAAAAAAAAUUUGAGGGCGGCAGUAGUAUGUAUUUUUCAAAAUACCUGUGAAAAAUAUGAGUAUUCAUGGUGAAAAAAAUUAUCUUUUUAAUAGAUUUCGCUGGUGUGUGAGGCGGCACCAGCCAAUUUUUUAAAGAAAAUAUUCUUAUUUUUAAAAAUACAUCAAAAGAAAAAAAUACAAAAAAAAAAAUAUAGGGCGAUCCAGUAGUACCACAUUAAUUUUUUAAAGGUUUUUUUUAGUAAUCUGAUCUUGUAAAUUUAAAAAUGAUAAAAGUAACCUAAUGUCAAGAUUAGUUAUAGAAAUGACCUGAUUUCUAUUUUUUUAAGCGACCAAAACAACUAUUUCUUUUUAUGUGGUUGAACAAAUUGAUGGCAUAGGAUUAAAACGUAGAGGAACAAAAUGUUGAAGAUUAUAGAAAUCAAGUCAUGCAUAUAAUUAAUCUUAAAAUUAGAUAUUUUCUUAAUCUUUUAAACUUACUGAUUUCGAAAAAGAGGCAUUUUUAAAAGAAUUGAUCUGUUCAUAAAAUAAAUGCUGCCUCCAAAGCUGACUUUUAGCACUACUGAUAUCUGGCUGGAUUUUUAAUUUUAAUUUUCUUAAAUAAUAAAGAUUGAGUUUUCGUAAAUACAUUGAACUAUGAGGGUUUGAAAUUUCUUAGAGAUGAUAGAAUAUGAAAAAGGUUGAUUGUUGCAUCGCAAAUUUAUGUGAUUGGAUGUUUUUCAAUUUGGAACACUUGAUUGUGUUGGCAAAUUGUUAAAUAAAAUUUGCAUGAAAUGAAUUAAAAAGAUCAAAUCAUUUACCAUUAAUUUUAAACAAAAGAUUUUAUUUGUUGAGUUAUAAAAUUUUUAAAUUUAUUAAUUUUAUUAAAAAUCAAAUUUUAGUUCAAAUAACAUUAUAAAAUUUGGGUGAGAUUAUAUAUAAAAAUAAAUAUUAUAUAAAAAUUAGUAAAAUUUAAUUCUGUAUUUAUAAUAAAAAGCCCCAAACAAUGAGCUGACAACUUUAUAGCAGGAAGACUAAUCCUAGAUAAGGACAGGUGUCAAUAAUUUAGCAAUUUGGUACAUUCUGUGAACCACAUUCGGUUUCUUAAAUAUUCCAUCAAUCGAAUUUCUCUCUUAUUUCUCUUUUUUAUCUAUCUUUUUUUAAAAAAAAAUUAAAUGUCCUCAUAACCCCAAUCAAAUUUUAUUAAGGAUAAUUAUAAUUAUCGAAAAAAAUUCUCUCUUAUUUCUCUUUUUUAUCUAGAAUAAUUAUAAUUUUAUUAUAUUUACAGAGACAGUAUAGAACUAUAAUUAUAAAAUCUUUCAAAAAUUACUAUAAAUAUAGUUAAUAUGUUAGACAUUAUUUGAAUAAAAAAUUAUUUUUUUGAAAAAUAAAUAAAAUUUAUUUUCAGUUAAAAACAGUUUUUACAAAAAUACUUUUUGGUAAAAAAAACUUUUUGGAUUAGUUCAUAGAGGCCUUUCUAUUUUUGGUAUUGCAAGGGAAUAAAAGAAAAUAAUAAAUAAGGAUGGAUUAUAAAGCAAUUUACUUUAUUUAAAAUUUGGUGCUGCCAGCACCCUAAAAGUUUUUUUCAAUACCCAAUUCAAAUGAAAAUUUUACAUAUUAUAUAUCUGAAUAUUUUAAGUUAUCACAUUUUAAUCUGGUGCCAUUAACAUGUCAGGCAGUAGCAACAAAACACGGUAACAAACAUACAUUUGAGGAAUUAAAGAUUUUUAUUAUUAUUUAAAAUAUAAGUUAAUAUUUGAUAUAUUAUAAAAAUUAUAUAAUACCGUAAAAAAAUUCAAAUUUUGUCAAGUGCCAUUUUCUUAUUUAAUAUUUUUGUAUAUAUUUUUACUCGAAAAACUUAGAAUUUAUAUAUCUAUAUAGAAUGAAGGUCCAAAACACUUCCUUUUACUCAAACCUGAUCAACCACCCAUGCUUUGGUUAAGUUUAGUUUUGAUACCUUUAAUAUAUCUAAAUUUAAUAUUUAAUUUAUAAUAUAAUUCCAUUCAUCUAUUUUUAAAAUAUUAUUAAUUCAUUAUUUGAAUACAUUAAAAGUCUUAAAAGACUUGAGAACAAGUCAAUCAUUUCCUAGAAAUCAAGCUUACUCCUAGCAAGCCAUAAUCACCACAAAGUGGGGCUAUUUUAUCCAUUUAACCCAAAAAAACAAUAUUUAUAAAAAUGAAUCUGGUUCAAAAAUAUUCACUAAAAUGACUUGAAAUGAACAGUAAAUUUGAGUUAUGAGAACUUAAUGGCCGACAUCCUAUUGUAUUUUGACCCUAUGAUUGCUUGAUGAUUGUGUUAGGCUUUAAUUUUUUUUUUUGGGGGAUAUCAAUGGCCAGCAUCAAGGAAUUUUUUUAAAAUCGUAUCAUACUGGUAUACUCAAAAACCAGUAUUUGAAAACAAAAAUUUGGGACCUGGCCAUCUAAUGGCCGGCACCAAAGUACAAUAAUUUUUUUUUGUGUUCUGACCAAUAGAUAGCUGGCACUAAUACUUUUUUUCAAUUCUCAAAUUUUUUUUUGUUUUGGAACACUGAUGAUCGACACCACCUUUUUCAGGUCUCAUUUUUUUUUUGGUACACUAAUGGCCAGCACCAACUUUAUCAAAUUAAAAAUAUUUUUUUUGUUUUGAGACACUGAUGACCAGCACCAACCUAAUAUACAUAUACCCAAUAGAUUUUGAGCCUUGAGCACUCUGAUACAAAACAAAGUUUACGUUAGGGUGCUAAAAUCUAUAAUGAAAAACUGAGAAUUUUUAAGUAACAAUAUGAUCUUUUUAACCUUGAUUAAAAUUGUAUAAUAUGCACCGUUUAGUAGUGUAUAUAAAUUAUUAUUUUUCAAGGGUCAAGUUAAUUACGUAAAAAUAAUUUGAUGUUGUCUAAGUAAAUUCUUGGGUUGAAGUGUUUUGGAUAAAUUAGCAUUAGUAGGGUGUCUAUUGCUUAAAAGUAUAAUGUGACUCAACUUUGGAUAUAAUUAAUACUCAAUGUAUUUAGAAGUAAGAUUGAGGUUAAAAUUUAUUGAUAAAAUCUUAACUUAAUUUGUAUGGGCAUUAUUGCUAAUACAAAAAAAUCUGGGCUCAAGUGCGGUGAAGCAUAUUAUCCUCUUAUAGGUUAUAGGUAAGUUUAGAUAUGAUAGAGUUAAAAAUUUUAAGGUAAAAAGGUGAAGCUUCUUUUAAAAGAGAAAAACCAUUAAAAGCCUUUUUUUCGAUUAAAAAUUUUAAAUUGAAUGUUUUAUUUCAUACGAAAUAUUAAAAAGUAAUAUUCUCAUUUAAUUAAACAAUUAUUAUAUGUAAAUUUCAAAUUAAACUACUAAAAGAAUAUUUAUGCUAAAAAAACCUUAUCAAAAUGAUACAAAUCGUAAAAUAUACACGAAACUUUUAAAAAAAAUUAAUAAAAAAAGUUUAAUUACAAUUCAAAAAGCAUCAAAUUCUAUUCUCACGCAAUAUUUUUAGUUAAAGAUAAUGUUAAAAUUAAAAUAAAUUUUAAACAAUAAAUAACCCCAUAAAAAAAUACGUAGAGAUGAAAUUAUAAACAUACUUUUUUUUAUAUCUAAAUCUUACUUUAGUAUAUAUAUAUAAUAUGAGUAAUUUAUAUAAAAUUUUAUACAUUUUAAAACUUAAUUCAAAAUAUUUAAUUCAAAAUAUAAAUAUAAUUACUUUCCGUAUUUUUUAAUCAUAAAUAGUAUUAACAAAAAUAAUAUAUUUAACUAAAUUAUAAAUAUAUUUAAAAAACACGUGGCAUUUAUAUAUAUAACAUAUAUAUUAUUUAACAACAAAGUAAAUGGAUAUUAAAGUAAAAGGCUUCGAUUCCCUUGAAUACUCAGUAAAGUCCUUACCAGAAAAACGUAGAUAAUAACAUUCAACUAGCAAUCUAGAAUUAACACAUAUGUUUUAAUUAAGUUUUUAAUUUUCGUUAUUUAGAAUUUUUAUGUAUACAGACUACUUUCUUUUUAAUAAUUAUAUUCUAUAAUAAUAUUUUAUUAUAACAAUUAAGUUUAUUGUAGAAUCUAUUUUUUAUGUUUUAUUAUUUUUUUAUAAUAUUUUUUUAUAAUAAUAACCAUAAAAUAAAAACUACACUAUUUACUAAUUUAUUUUUUUGUAACUUCUUAGAAUUAGUUAAAUAAAAAUAAUAAAAUUUAGUUAAGAUGUUGUUUGAAUAAAUUUCUAAAAUUUUAUAUAAAAUAUAUUAUCCAGAUUUUAUUAAGCAAAAAAAAUUUUAAGAAAUGAAAUUACAUUAAUAAACUAUUCAUUAAUGUUUGUAAUUACGAUUUUCUUAGUUAGUUUAGAUAUUUGUCAGUUCAUUAUCGAUAUUCAAACUAUACUUUUUCAUAGUAUUUUAAAGAUACUAUUUUUAAAGUUUUAUAUAAAAAUAUAUUAAUAAGAUUUAUUAAAUUAAAAUAAUUUUUAAUAAAUGAAAUUACAUAAUAUAAAUGUCACUGCUUCAUUUUAUUAAUAUAUUAUAGUUUUUAAUUUGAAAUUUAAAAAUUCAAAUAUGAUUUGAAUCUCAAAUAUUAUUAAGGUAUUUCAGAAAUUGUUAGAUGCGGAUAAUUACCAACUUUAUAUACAAUCCAAAGUUUUUGGUAAAUAAUUAUUAUUGUUAUAGAAUAAAUUGACUGCAUAAUAUCAUAUCUUAAACAUGAUAAUUAUGUGCCUAUGUAAUAAGGUACCUUCAAUUGAUAUCAUCUCAUAUUUGUUAAAACUUGAAUUGCAUAUGCCUCUCUUGAUAAAUUUAGAUCAUAUGAUUAAAAAAACCAUAUAAUCCAUAAACUAGUCUAACAAGUUUGUACAUAAUACAAUGGUGCAUAAAUUUUCUUUUUAAGAAAUAUAUAUAUACUUACAUUUGGACGAGUACAUGAUAAAUAGUGUUAUUGUUGAAGGAGCAAUCACAUACAACAUUAUUAGCAUAAUAGCCAACCAUGGCGUUGACUGCAUGGAUCAAUACCAAAGUCCCACCCUGUCUUCCCCAAUGUUUUACCAAUGCUUUUCAAAGCUUCCACCGUAACAAAAAACCAAUAAGAGAAAUUUACUAGAAAAAUUCACCAAAUUAAGGUUGGAAGCUUAAUAUUAUGAGUUACCUUCGUCAUUGUAGCUCCAUCUGUAAGCGUUGUAAGGCAACAAACUAUGAAUAUUGACCCCAAAACAUGUCGAAGAAACAACAUAUUAAAGGAAUAUAUAUAUUUUUGGAUUGAUACGAAACUGGGUUUUCAUAAAUAUAUUGGACUAUGAGAGUUGGAAUUUGACUAUAUAUGAAAGUUGGGAAAAGGAAUUUCUAAAAGGAAGUUGGAAAUUUCUUUUAGAUGAAAAAUGAAAAGCAAGAUGAAAAUGAUUUGGCUGCCUACGGAAAAUAAAUGAAAAGGGAGAGGUAAAGUGAACACUAAAACAAAGGUUCAAUUAUUGUACUGUGAUUGGGUGUUUUCGUACGACUUUGCAAAUGAUAUUACCCAUCGGAAUUUAAUGAAAUGGGGAUGGUUCACUACAGCAAAUUAAACCUUUAUUGUUAAGUAGAUUAAUUUUAAAAUAGGAAUAUAUUUUUAUUUUUAUUUACAAUUUCAUUUUAAAUAAAAUAUUAUGGACUGAUCCAAGACUAAUUUAAUAAUUAAAAAUUAAUUAAUUAUAGUGCAUAAUUUAAUUCCAGCGACUCAAGUAGAAGAAUAGGGAUAGGGAUAGGGACCUUUGACAGAAAGCUAGUUCAGACAAAUGACUUGAGUGACGACUUUAUAGCAGGAAGACAAUUGUUAUAAGGACAUGUGCAAUUAAUUUAACAAUUUGGUAGGGUAUCAAAUUAAAUCAAAUGAAUAUUUUAUAAUUUUAUAAAGUUUAUUUUUUUAUUUUUACUUAAAUUAAAAUUUUUGAAUCAUAUUAAAUUAAGUAAAAUAAAAUUCGAAUGCAAUUAAAUAAAUUUAUUUGAAUUAAAUUAAAAAAAUUAAACUAGUCAUAGGUAAUUUAACUAAAAUUCAAGUUAAACAACAUAAAAUAUAUAUUUUUACUUUAUCAUCUAUAUACUUAUAUAUAUAUAAAAGGACGACGACACAUGGACACACACUCAUGCUCCAUUUUUCUUUUUCAUUUUACAAUAUAGUAACUCUAAUAUGUCUAAAUUCGAAAUAUUUUAAUUUUUAAUAUAAUUUGAUCUUUAUAUUUUUAAAUUAGUCUAAAUAGUCAAUGUAAUUAAUUUUUCUUGUGUUGUAGUAGCCAUCAUGAAAAUAAUGAAACUUUAAAAUUGUCAGUGCAAAACUUCGUUGAGAAAAAUCUCAAACAGACAAAUAGAACGCAUGGGCACCUUCGUCUGGAGUUCUUCCACGUGGGGUUCCUAUGGGAGAUGAUGCACCUAAUGAAGGAUUUGGUGAUUCAGAUGAACAUAGUAACGAGAAUAAAUGUAUUCCUCCUGAUGAGGUACCAUCAAACCCUUCUCAUGAAAUUCCUAAUCGAAGAAAGCAAACACUUGGGGCUGUAUACGGUAAAGGAAAAAAUCAAGUUCAAGUAGAAAAUCAUCAAGAAAUUCAUUAACUACUCAGAUUGAGAAAUUGUGUGAGAGUAUGGCUAGUCCAAGGAAGUCAGUGAAUGAAAUUAUUUUUCCUCACUCUCAAUAUACCAUUUCAAAUGCAAUGGAUGCUUUGCGUGCUUUGGGAGAUGAAAUUCCAAAAAAAGAUGAACUGUACUAUUUUGCCACCAAAAUGUUCCAAAUACCGGUGAAACAAGAAGUGUUUUUGAACUUAGAUCCAGAUGAUAGGGUUUGGUGGCUUCGACGUGAGUAUGCUGAACAAAAUCCAAUUGCAUUAUUUUCAUCCUUGGUAGCAACAUCCUCAUUUCCCUUCCAACCAUACUAUCAACUACCUCCACCAUAAGCUCCUUAGAAUUAUUAUUAUAAUAUAACUAUACUACUUUUUUAUAUGUAAAACUAAUGUAUGAUCCUUUUUAUGUUUUGUAUUUUUAUACUAUGCUUUUAAUUAAGUUUCUGUGUUGUAUAGAAUGUCACGAGAUUUAAAGAAUUUAUUUUCAUUUGAUUACUUUUUUAAGUUAUGGAUGAAUUUAACAAUAUGUAUAAUAGUUUUGAUAUGAAUUAUGAUACCCCUGAAUUAAGUGAAGAAGCUCAACGAAGAAUAGCCGCAAUUGUUACCCAAGUUGAGAACAACAAUUAUCAUGAAGAGGAAUAAUAUGUGUUAAGCAAUGUAUUGGUACACCAUGAAACUUAUUUCACUAUGCAUGUAACAGCUCGAUUUUGGGCCUAGUUGAAAUAGUGGUUUCGGGAUCACAAAUUCCAUGAGGAAAAUUUUUAUUUUUAUUAUAUUUUUAUGGUCUAAAAUUUUACGGAAUAAUUUUUUGAAAAUUUCGUUCAAAAAUUUCGACGUUUGGGCACUCAAUUUAGCCAAAAGGACUAAAUUGUAAAAAGUGCUAAAGUUGAGUUCUAUAUGUUAGGAGUGUCUAAUUAUUAUGAAAUUUUAAAUUGGAGGUUCUUAAAUGGUAAUUAGACCAUUGGUUAUCUUAUGGACAAAAAUGGACAUGAAAUAGGUGAAAUAAGAUAUUUUUGAGUUAAGGGUAUUUUGGUAAUUUGGUAAUUAAAACAUAUUAAAAAGACAAAAUAAGCCAAAUUUUCAUCAUCUUCUCCAUGGGGCUGGACGAAUGUGAUAUGAACUCCAUGGCUAGGGUUUGCUCAUCUUCCAAGCUUCAUGGUAAGUCUGUUCUAGCCCCGUUUUUUUUUUCUUUAUAUUUUUAGAAUCUCGGUAACUAGCUUAAGCUACUUUUACCAUUAAUUUGAGCUAGAAUUUAUGUUUGGAAAAUUACCCAUAGAUGAAAAGCGUGAAAUUUUGAUGUUUUAUGAUGGAAUAUGAAGCUUAGAAUUGUGUUAUACGAUUUUCGCUAAGCGAUUUUCAGUGAAACCGAGUAAAUUGACAUAAUCUAUAAUAAUACUAAAUGUUCAUAAGUGCACUAUAGAGCAAGAAUUUGGGGUAGUCAUUGGAGGAAAAAAUGUUUAGCAUGUCAUAAAACAUAAAAAAAAGAAUAAAGUUUAAUUUCCGAGCCUAGGGGUAAAAUCGUAAUUUUGUGAAACUUUAGGGGCAAAAAUGUAAUUGUUUCAAAAUAUGAUUUUUGGACUGGAUUGAAUAAUGUGAGUGUUAAAUAUGUUAUUAUAAGUUAAGAAAGACAUGAAAUUGACCUUGAUUAGUAAAAAAAUGAGAUAAAGUGAGAAAUUUUCCGAUUGAAUAUUCGAAAUAAAAAGGGAUAUGAAUGAAGUGACAGAAAUGCUUACACAUGUGGCACGGACUGUGUGUAGGCCACUAUAUGAAAGUGAAAGUGAUGGUCUCGUGUGUAGUACUAUGUGUAGGCUACUACGUGUACUGGAACGAAAGGUCACAUGUGUAGUACUAAGUGAAGGCUACAAUGUGUACCGAGAAGCUUUGGUCACGUGUGUAGUACUGUGUAAAGGCUACUACGUGAAUCGGUAAAUAAUGGUCACAUGCGUAGUACUAAGUGAAGGCUACAAUAUGUACCGAGAAACUUUGGUCACGCGUGUAGUACUUUGUGAAGGCUACUACGUGAAUUGAUAAAUGAUGGUCACAUGUGUAGUACUAAGUGAAGGCUACUAUGUGUACCGAAAAGCUUUAGUCACGUAUGUAGUUUUAUGUGAAGGCUACUACGUGAACCGUAAAACUUGAUCACGUGUGUAGUACUAUGUGAAGGCUACUACGUGAACCGUAAAAAUUGAUCACGUAUGUAGUACUAUGUGAAGGCUACUACGUGUAUCGAAUGAUAAUAGUAACAUGGGUGGUACUAUGUGAAAACCCCCAAAUAUUUGUUGUUAUACUGACAUGUUUAACAAGAUAUGAGUAUGAAUGAUAGUUGCGAAAGAGUGACUGAAGUGAUGAAGUCUUGCAUUGUGUUAUAAAAUGAAUGGUUAUAGUGCCAUGUGAAUGAGAGAUGUUGGAAUAGAAUAGAUUUGGACAGUGACGGUGAUGUUAGUUUGAAAAAUCACCAAAAAUUGUAGAAAUUGAGUUAGUGAUUGAAUGAAAUAUUGAAUUAAAGCUUAUUGAGUCUACUUUCAUAUAAAAUAAACAGAGCAAGCAAAAGAGUUGUAUAUUUGGAGAUAUUUGAAUUUUAGUCAGACAGGGUUGGAAUGAUUUCGAAAUCCCCUGUUCUGACUUUGUAAAAUCACUAAAAAUUGUAAAAGAAUAAUUAUGAGUUAUAAUUUAUAUGCUUAGAAUCCUUGAUGAGUCUAUUUUCAAAUGAAAUAAACUAAAUUAUCAUCAAAAUUCUGUACAGUGAGAUAAUUCAUUUUUAGUGAAGAAAGGUCAGAAAUGUCAAGCAGUGAAAUAGGGGAACCUUUAGAGAAUAAACUAUACUAAUUGGAUGAACCAAAAAUUCUGAAAAUUUUAUGGUAAGAAGAUAUGUGAGUCUAGUUUUGGGGAAAAUUUACGUAACUUAAUUUGGAGCUUCUUAGCUCUGGAUAAAAAUAAUUUAGUGACUGUAACUCGACUAGACAGUUUUGAAUUUAAAUAUAAGUUAAUAGUGAAAUUAUGUAUAAUGCCAUUUAAGUGUGUUAUAAGUAUCAAGGAUGUGGAAUGGAGAGGAGGAGGAGGGCAUUAAAUUAUAUGAAUGAAUUGUGUAUAAUUUGUUAUAAAUAUGAAUGCUUGAUAAAAUGGAAUGGAAUGGUAUGACAUGGAAUAGUAUGGAAUGGAAUAUAUAUAUAUAUAUAGAUAUGAAUGACUUGUGUGUGAAUGGGUCAUAUGCUCGAUCAUAAUUGAUGAACGUUGAGUUCCAUGGUAAAUGCGUAUUAGUACUAAACUAAAUGAUAAUGGAUUAUAUGUGAAUUAAAUGGAAACUUCCAUUGCUAGUGAUAUGAUUUGAAUUAAAACAACUAUUGUGGUACAGAGAAGUAUAAUGGAUUGAGAAAUUGAUUUGAAUUGUGAACGGAGAAAUUGCGAAUUGAAUGAAAUGGAAAUGAAGCAUUGAAUUACAUGAGUAAGUAUCGAGUCUCGUAGGCUCUAUUUAUUAUGAAUAUAAUAUUUCAAUGAUAUGUUAUAAAGAAUUAUAAAAGCACGUUAGUAAUUUAAAAAUUUUAAAUUCGGAUAAAAUCUUGUAACUCAGUUUAAAUACGUAUACAAGUGUAUGUGUUCUAGUAAUGCCUCGUACCCUAUUCCGGCGUUGAAUAGGGUUUGGGGUGUUACAAUGCAACCGCGUAUGGAUUCAAAUUAUACAGGUCAAAUGUGGGUGGACGAAGUAUUAAAUGGGCAUGAUGAUCGUUGCAUGAAUAGUUUUAGGAUGCCAAAAGAUAUAUUUCACAUCUUGUUGCAUGAUUUGCAAACAAAUUAUGGAUUAAAGAAUGGGAAAGUAUCGGCGAUGGAGAAGUUAGCAUUAUCAUUAUACAUUCUUGAAAAUAGAGAAUCAAAUUCAAAUGCAACAGAGCGAUUUCAACGAUCUGGGGAAACUGUUAGUCGAAUUUUUACUGAUAUGUUGCAUAUAUUUGCUCGAAUGGGAAUAGACACGAUUAAACCCACUGAAGGUCAAUUCGAGGAAGUACCGAACCAUAUUCGACAUGUUACAAAAUAUUGGCCUCACUUUAAGGUAAUAUUUACACAAUUUUUAUAUUUUUAAAAUAUAAAUUAUUUCUAACUUUUAUCUUAUUACUUGUAUUUAUUUUAAAGGAUUGUAUUGGGGUCAUAGAUGGAACACACAUAAAAGCAUGCAUUUCGCCUUCUUGUCAAAUACCUUAUAUCGGACGGAAAGGUGAACCAACUCAAAAUAUUAUGGCAGUUUGUGACUUCAACAUGUGCUUUAUUUUUGCAUUUCUUGGUUGGGAAGGAAUAGCACAUGAUAGUAGAAUUUUUUUGCAAGCACUUAGAAAAUAAGAGUUGAAGUUUCCACACCCUCCACCAGGUUGAACUUUAAUUUUUAAUUACUUUUUACAUAAAAAUAUUAAAAUAUUAAAAUUAUUUUUAAAUUUGAUAUUAUGUUUUGCUUUUUUGUAGGAAAAUAUUAUAUUGUGGAUCCAGGAUAUCCACAAAUGGCAUGUUUUCUAGGUCUAUAUAAGGAGAACGAUAUCAUUUACCUGAUUUUCGUCGAAGUAAUCAUCAAGUAUUUGGAAAAAAAAAAUCUUUAAUCAUGCCCAUUCUUCGUUAUGCUCUGUGAUUGAUCGAACAUUUGGAGUGUGAAAAAAAAUGACCAAUAUUAAGAGAUAUUCUAAGUUAUUCAUUCAACAAGCAAGUUUUAAUAGUUAUUGCAACAAUGGUUUUGCAUAAUUACAUUCAAAGACAUGCUUGGUCAAAUGAUGAGAAUUUUCGAGAAUUUAAGAAUAUACCCGACAUGCAAGUCUCUUCAAGCCAGUUUGACAGAGGUGAAUCGAGUUCUUCUCACAGAGAAAGUGACCUUGAAAUCACGAUGUUAAGAGAAACCAUUGCAACUAGUUUAAUGAAUCCAUAUUUGUAAAAAUAUUUUGUAUCAUAACCUAAUUUCUAGUAAUAAUGAAACUUGUUAUGUCUUAUGUUAUUAUAUUUUUUUAUUAAAAAUCAUCCGUUUAGAUACUUCAAAAUUUUAUCCAAGUAUAAUGUUACUAUUUGUGAAAAUAAUAUUUAUCAUUGUUAUAAAAAAUAUUUAACUAUAAAAAAUUAAAAAUAAUUAUCAUUUUAUCUAAUAAAUAAUUUAAAUUAAUUAUAUAAUUUGUUUUGAAUAUUAAAUUAAUUAUAUAACUCAUUAAAAUAUUGAAAGAUGCAUUUUAAUAUUUUAUUAAAUGAAUUUAUAAAUUCACAUAUUUUAAUAAUUUUAAAAAAGUAAAAUAAUUUAAAAAUAUAUGAAUUCUAAUAUGAUGUCUUUAAUAGUCAUUUUUUAUUCUCACAUCACCGCUACAGCUGCGUUUGAAUCCAAACACACACUCCACAAUUGUUUCUAAUCUCACCGCUACAGUAUCCAAUCUCACCGCUACAGUAACUAAUCUCACCGCCACCGCUGUUUUUAACCUCACCGGAGGUAAACACACUACCCAUCCAAACUAGCCCUUAGUCAGAUUUGAACUAAGUAGGUAACAUAUUUGAUGUAAUUAGGUGAAGCUUGAGCUGAUAAAUCAGCUUUGCAAAGUGUACAAGUUAUGUUUAACACGUUUCAAUGUAGUUUAGUGAAGUUAGGUAAAUGUUUCGGCGACAUUUGCUUAUUUUUUACCAGCUUGUGUCUGGUAUAUGUACUGGCAUUAAGCAUUCUUUCAAUUUUAAUGAAAAUUCAUCAGAAUUCUUCAUCUAAUGCUCUCUUAAUUCUUUGCUUUCUUUAGUUCUUCAAGGCCGAUUUUGUUUUUGUUUGCACAGCAAGUAUCAAGCCUUCAAGCUCAAGAAACUACUUGUUUCAUUCAUCUUUGUUCUUAGUUCGACCAGAGUGGACUUGAUGAAGAUAAUAUGUUAUAGGAAGAGUUUCUUUGGUCAGUCGAGCUAAACAAUCACGUAGUCUAAAAUUUCUUAUUUGAGACUUGUUAGCAUAUGUAUGAAAAGCAUCCCAUACAAUCUUUGUAUUAGUGGCAGCAACAAUUAUGGUAGCAAUAAUAGGAUCAACACAUGUCAGAAUGACAUUUUCAAUCAAUUGAUCUUGACGAAACCAAGAUAUAUGUGCUAGGUUUUCAUGGUAUUGGUGUUUUAUGGGAUAAUACAAGUGGGUUCAGGUAUAGUGCCAUCUAGAUGACCAUAAAGGUUAUGACCAUGCAUAAACAUUGAUGCUUGGGCCUUCCAAAGGGAGAAAUUAUGGCUACUCACCAGCUUGAUGGGUAGUUGGGUUAGAGGAUUAACUUGACCAACUGUGAUAUUGUUUAUAGCGUAACGAGGGAAAAGAAAAAAGGGAAAAAAAAGCUCCUUUGAGCUUUUUAGGCUCUGUUCACCAGUAAAAUGUAUUGGAGUAAUGAAAAAGUGAAUGGGUUUAUUGAGAUCUAGGUAACUAUUUAUAGAGUUACAUAACUCAUGAAACCAUAAAGAAAAGAUAAAGAAAAUUUAAAAAAUGACAUUAAAUUUGAAAUGAAAAAUAACAUAAGGAAAUUAAAAAAAAAGAUAACAAGAUCAAAAUAGAAUAAUUAUUUGUUAAAUGGUGGCAACACAGCAGCAGCAUGCAAGAUACCAAGCAUUGCAACACAGCUGUAACAUGCAAGUAACCAAGCAUUUCAUUAGCUGCAUGCUAAUGUCCAUGGUGUAACUCGGUUGAAAAGCUUUUGUAUUAGUUGACUCUCUCUUUUACAAGUUGGUUGUAAUCAUUUUUUGUUCAGCUAAAGUUUAAUCAUGUACUUAGUUUUCAGUAGUCAUUUAGGUUGUCAUUAAGCUGAUUUAACAGCUUGGACUCUUGCACAAGCAAGCUUUGUUUUUUACCAAUGUAAUUUAAACUACUUAUGUCUAGGUUUGUUAAUUAUUAAUGUAAUGAAGUUAUCUUUGCUCUCCAUCAUCCAGCAUCUGUUUUUGCUUCUGUUUUCCAUCUUUCAAACACAAAAACUUUAUUUUGAUCCUUGUUAUUAAUUGAAAACUCAACAUUAUUGUUGUGACUAAGUCAAUGGUGGUUAUUGCAGUUUGAUAAUGAGAGAAAAGAGGUAUACAAAUAUCGAAAUUCCACCGUCAAAUUUAUUGGACAAAAGGGCUAAUUAAGCCUUGGGUUAAAAGGAGUACUAAACUUCUGGGAGGGGGAGGGGAAUUAUACGUUGUCUGAUUCUCUAUGAACUUAUUCCAGCAGCAAAAUGGUGAUAGAAAAUUGUUUCUAGUUUGUGGAAUCUCUAUUCUGCCAAUACCCAGAAGUCAAACUAACUGGAUAGAGAUCAGCAGCAGAUGUUGAAGAAGUGGUCCAUGGCGCAUCACCUAACAUACUCUUUGUCUGGCUAAUAUCUGCAUCAUCAUCAUCUUCAAGUUUCCUAUGCAGCUUUUUCAUAGUUUCAACAUUCUUUUGACGACUUGAAGAGGACAUUGAAUCUGUGCAGUAUUCCUGAACUUCGGCCUUGCCUUCAAGCAUGCUCACCACUGAAGACAUUGGAGGUCUAGCUGAAGCAGUGGGAUUUGUGCAUAAUAGAGCAACAUUUAUCAUUGUCAUCACCUCGUUUUUGUCGCAAUCCGAGCCAAUCCUUGUAUCGACAAAUUCCAACAAGUUCCCAUUCUCCUUCAAAACAAGAGC
This 25550-nucleotide long non-coding RNA is filed under the name Gossypium barbadense (sea-island cotton). RNAcentral describes it as "long non-coding RNA (GBAR_LNC023123)". The record is from RNAcentral. Lineage: Eukaryota; Viridiplantae; Streptophyta; Magnoliopsida; Malvales; Malvaceae.